GAACUGAGCGAGCGUCUUGACUCGCUUCUGCAUCGUCGAGCCGCGCACGAGCACACCUAUAUCGACUUGUAGCUCCUCUCUCAUCCGUCUCCGUUUCGACCGGUUUCACUGCCGAGGGGGAGGGGUAGAACUUCGUGCCCUGCGUCACCGUCGGAUGCAUCGCUUUCGCAGGUUUGCCCCGGUGCACGCAUGGACAGCAGUGCGCUGCGUCUUUCAGAGUAAGGAGUUUCUGGCGGCGUCCAAGGAGCUGCCCACGACCCCGGAGGGGCGCAACCCAUACGAUGUCCUCGAAGUCACUGUCACCCGCGCUACGACACUUGACGAGGUGUCAAAGCAGUUCCGCAGCCUUGUCGUCAAGUACCACCCCGACAAGCCAGGCGGCUCCACCGAGAAGAUGGCCGAGGUGAACUUGGCCUACAAGAUUGUCAAGGAGAACCAUGAUGCGAUGCUGCGCCGGAUGAAGGAGGCAGAGUCAACGAUCAAGGCGAACGAAGCAUACCGUCAGCACAAGCACGCGCGCGCCAGCCGUGACGAGGAUCUUGGUCGCUCCGGCGGGCUUAACCGCCGCAAUUCGCGCGCCACGCGAGAAGCGGCCGAGCCCACGGGCUUGCGUCGCACCCGCUCACUGAAAGAGAUCGAGGCUCAGUGGGCCAAGUACAAAGAGGACACCGAAGCAGCGGUAAGGAGCAUGUGCAACCGCUACGAGCUGGCCAUUCAGCAGGGAAAGUUCUUUCGCAAGUCGGCGACGUUGAACGAGAUCACGGUACGCGAACGAUGGCUGCGCAAGUCGUUUGCGAAGGGUGUCUGGGAGGAUGUACAUGAGCUUCGUGGGGAGUUGCUUCGUCGAGGUACCCGCAGCGCUCAGCAGUCCGAGCUAGCAGAGGAAAUGGUCAGCUUUGCCUCCACGACGCAGCGGAAGCUGAAUGAGAAUUUUCAGCGACUGACACAAGAGAGUGUGCAGUUGCAGUCCCGCAUGUUAGUCGAGCGCGUCUUCUUCAUGGUGUGCUCGGUAAUCUUGCUGGUGAAGGUGUGGAGGUGGUUUGUUGGCUUUACCUUCAACAACACGCUCACCGUGAAGCUCAAGCGUGGUUUCCUCUCACAGUAACAGCGUUGCGUUGCGCGCCUCUGUGCGACGCAUCGUGGCAGUCUUCCUCUUGUUUUCUUCGACGCGCGUGUAAGGGGGAGGGGGUGCAACAAUCGAGGUGUAGCUGUUCUUCGUGUGCCCGGACUGGUUGGCGCAGAUUCCUUCUGUUUUCCUUUCUGCGUUUGCAUCCGCUGUUUCUUGAUUUGCGGCAAGCGUGCGUGUGAGGGGGGUUUGUGUGUCGCCGCCUCCACUGUCACAUGAUUACUAAAACCCCCAUAGCUGUUCGGCCUUUGUGCCUGUACUAGCUGGCAUGCGAAGACACGUACACGCCCGUGCGAGGUGUGCGUGUGUGCGUGUGCGGUACCCUACGAAUACCUGGGUGCAAAACUCAUGGAAAGUUGACAUGUGAAGGGCGCGGGGUGGCGUGAGGGAUGGGGCGAAGAGAAGAGAAUGUGGUGAGACUCCUCAGCGUCGUCGUUGCUCGGUCUGCGUGGACGCACGAAGACUGCUUGGGUGAGUCGCUUGCUUAUCUCUGUCUCUCUCCUUCCAUUUGUGUCCUCGUUUUAAUCUCGCUGGGCUCCCUCGUUGCAGGGAGGGCCGUGGAAACUCGUGAUUCUCGCCGGUUUAACUGAGCUGAUGCAGCUGUGCUUUGGCGCGGUGAUUCGCGCAUUUCUCCAAGCCACCUUGCUCGCACUCCCUGCCUGGCCUCUGUCACCGCCACCGCUCGUCUCUCUCCUUCUCAUCAUGUCGCUGCUCAUCACCAUGACACCUCGCCUGUCGCUCACAG
This 1871-nucleotide unclassified non-coding RNA is filed under the name Leishmania donovani. RNAcentral describes it as "gene:LdHU3.32.0770(CDS-product:DnaJ_domain_contai ning_protein_putative)". The record is from RNAcentral. Lineage: Eukaryota; Euglenozoa; Kinetoplastea; Trypanosomatida; Trypanosomatidae.